Cinara cedri is the source of this 581-nucleotide non-coding RNA. The record is from the annotation of a GenBank genome assembly. NCBI's taxonomy places the organism in Eukaryota, Metazoa, Arthropoda, Insecta, Hemiptera, Aphididae.
AUUAUAUAUGUGAAUAACAGUCCUCGUGCACGUCUUUUAUUCGUUCCGUUAUAAUUGAACCGCACUCCUCGGCGUCAUUGUUAAAAUGUCAAUUUAUUUUCAUCGCAGGUUACGUGACAAAUUUAAAGUGUGUUGUUUAGAUUUUUCGAUUACUGACGUCAUUUUGACGGUCACGUAAUAGUCAUUACACGAAUAAAAGACGUUGCAGCAAUUUAAUAGAAGCAUUCAAAAAUAUAACACGAGUAUACAGCUACAAUUAAAAAAUAUAUAGUAUAAAAAAAAUAACCGGAUCUACAACUAUAGAUUGAAUGUUGGGAUGUUAGGAAAGUAUAGGAUAUUAAAUGGAAAAUUUAGUUUACAUACAGAAAGCAACGACACAUCAUUUCAAACAAAAAAAAACUAUUCUGUACAGAGCUCGGUAAACUAAGAAAGUUAUAGUAUAUUGAUCGUGUUCAUUCUCCUUAUUGUAGCCAAGAUAACUCUAAAAUCAACAAAAGUAAAACUAAAAUAUCAUGUUUUGUUGUCAAUUUUUAAAGAAAACCGUUAGGAAUCUAGAAAAAUGUUUUAAAUAAAGUAACAAC